This 389-nucleotide ribosomal RNA is filed under the name uncultured bacterium. RNAcentral's name for it is "bacterial SSU rRNA". It matches the Rfam family "Bacterial small subunit ribosomal RNA", at positions 355 to 760 of the family's 1533-position model. The record is from RNAcentral.
UAGGGAAUAUUGGUUAAUGUGCGAAAGCGCGAACCAGCAACGCCGCGUGUGCGAUGAAGGCCUUCGGGUCGUAAAGCACUUUUUGCAGGGAAGAGGAAGGACGGUACCUGCAGAAUAAGUCUCGGCUAACUACGUGCCAGCAGCCGCGGUAAAACGUAGGAGACGAGCGUUAUCCGGAUUUACUGGGCGUAAAGCGCGUGCAGGCGGCAUGGCAAGUUGGAUGUGAAAGCUCCCGGCUUAACUGGGAGAGGUCGUUCAAUACUGCCAGGCUUGAGGGUGGUAGAGGGGGGCGGAAUGCCGGGAGUAGUGGUGAAAGGGGGAGAGAGCCGGAGGAACACCAGUGGGGAAAGCGGCGUCGUGGGGCAUUUCUGACGCUCAGACGCGAAAGC